AGGAUCAUUAUUGAAAUAAACCUGAUGAGUUGUUGCUGGUUCUCUAGGGAACAUGUGCACACUUGUCAUCUUUGUAUCUUCACCUGUGCAUCUUUUGUAGACCUUGGGUAUCUCUCUGAUUGCCUAGCACUCAGGAUUGAGGAMUGACUUUAUGUCUCUUCUUACAUUCCCAGGUCUAUGUUUAUUCAUAUACCCUAAUGUAUGUUUAUAGAAUGUAAUCAAUGGGACUUUGUGCCUAUAAAUCUAUACAACUUUCAGCAACGGAUCUCUUGGCUCUCGCAUCGAUGAAGAACGCAGCGAAAUGCGAUAAGUAAUGUGAAUUGCAGAAUUCAGUGAAUCAUCGAAUCUUUGAACGCACCUUGCGCUCCUUGGUAUUCCGAGGAGCAUGCCUGUUUGAGUGUCAUUAAUAUAUCAACCUCUUUGGUUGGAUGUGGGUUUGCUGGCCUCUGUGAGGUCAAGCUCCCCUUAAAUGCAUUAGCGGACAACAUUUUGCCAAACGUUUAUUGGUGUGAUAAUUAUCUACGCUAUUUUGACGUGAAGCAGAUUCAGCUUCUAACAGUCCAUUGACUUGGACAAAUUUCUAUUUAUUAAUGUGACCUCAAAUCAGGUAGGACUACCCGCUGAACUUAA
This 630-nucleotide ribosomal RNA is filed under the name Calonarius odoratus. RNAcentral describes it as "eukaryotic LSU rRNA". The stretch from base 250 to 403 matches the Rfam family "5.8S ribosomal RNA". Lineage: Eukaryota; Fungi; Basidiomycota; Agaricomycetes; Agaricales; Cortinariaceae. The record is from RNAcentral.